Molecule: unclassified non-coding RNA, 331 nt
Filed under: Hevea brasiliensis (rubber tree)
Lineage: Eukaryota; Viridiplantae; Streptophyta; Magnoliopsida; Malpighiales; Euphorbiaceae
Source: RNAcentral
AAACACCUGGACAAAUAAAAUCAAUAGAAACAAUAGGACAUAAAGGGUUAAUUAAUUUUUCUUUUGGAAUCACCAUGGUUUGAGGCGGUACAACCAAGGCUCCAAUUGUAACCUCAAGUUAUUCUCUUCCCAAUUCUUUAUGAAUAUUUGAUGACUUUUCCUCAACCUUUUGCAAGAACAUCAACUUCCUUCCUAUGGAUUCUUCAGAAUCAAAAUCAUCAUCCUCAUCCUCAACUUCUUCAGGUUCACAACAAAUUUCCCUUUGUUUUUCAAUAAAAUUCACAGUUUUCUUCCUUGGACAUUCGUUUGACCUAUGCCCCUCUUCAUUGCA